AUGAAUAUGGCCAACAGUCCCCCUAAAGUGAGCGUCCUGCCACCGUCCAGUGAAGAGAUUUCCACAAAGCAAACAGCAACACUGAUGUGUGUGGCCAACAAGGGCUUCCCCUCCGACUGGAGUCUGAACUGGAAGGUGGACGGGAUCAGCAGCAGGUCUCAGUACAGCAGUGUUGCUCUCCUGGAGAAGGACGGUCUGUACAGCUGGAGCAGCAGUCUGACUCUCUCUGAGCAGGAGUGGAGCUCAGUGAUCUCAGUCAGCUGUGAGCUCACACAGAAAGACCAGCGUGAUAAAGUCACUGGAGAAUUGAGGAGAGAUCAGUGUUCACAGUAG
Paramisgurnus dabryanus is the source of this 333-nucleotide non-coding RNA. The record is from the annotation of a RefSeq genome assembly. NCBI's taxonomy places the organism in Eukaryota, Metazoa, Chordata, Actinopteri, Cypriniformes, Cobitidae.